UAACCACUGACGAUAACCGUGUAUGUUG
Molecule: non-coding RNA, 28 nt
Submitted as: unclassified sequences
Source: Rfam